RNAcentral lists this ribosomal RNA (467 nucleotides) under uncultured bacterium. RNAcentral describes it as "partial 16S ribosomal RNA". It matches the Rfam family "Bacterial small subunit ribosomal RNA", at positions 28 to 506 of the family's 1533-position model. The record is from RNAcentral.
GACGAACGCUGGCGGCGUGCUUAACACAUGCAAGUCGAACGGAAAGGCCCUGCUUUUGUGGGGUGCUCGAGUGGCGAACGGGUGAGUAACACGUGAGUAACCUGCCCUUGACUUUGGGAUAACUUCAGGAAACUGGGGCUAAUACCGGAUAGGAGCUCCUGCUGCAUGGUGGGGGUUGGAAAGUUUCGGCGGUUGGGGAUGGACUCGCGGCUUAUCAGCUUGUUGGUGGGGUAGUGGCUUACCAAGGCUUUGACGGGUAGCCGGCCUGAGAGGGUGACCGGCCACAUUGGGACUGAGAUACGGCCCAGACUCCUACGGGAGGCAGCAGUGGGGAAUAUUGCACAAUGGGCGGAAGCCUGAUGCAGCAACGCCGCGUGCAGGAUGACGGCCUUCGGGUUGUAAACCGCUUUCGCCUGUGACGAAGCGUGAGUGACGGUAAUGGGUAAAGAAGCACCGGCUAACUACGU